UCAAAUCUUUGUUGGAGGACGGGUGUC
Molecule: small RNA, 27 nt
Filed under: Bombyx mori (domestic silkworm)
Lineage: Eukaryota; Metazoa; Arthropoda; Insecta; Lepidoptera; Bombycidae
Description: ovarian small RNA-24491
Source: RNAcentral